RNAcentral lists this unclassified non-coding RNA (324 nucleotides) under uncultured Bordetella sp. RNAcentral's name for it is "partial 16S-23S ribosomal RNA intergenic spacer". It matches the Rfam family "Bacterial small subunit ribosomal RNA", at positions 13 to 335 of the family's 1533-position model. The record is from RNAcentral. Lineage: Bacteria; Pseudomonadati; Pseudomonadota; Betaproteobacteria; Burkholderiales; Alcaligenaceae.
CCGAUCCUGGCUCAGGAUGUGAGCAGCGGGGAUGCUUUACAUGCAAGGUCAGGCAGCGCUUUGGACUCGGUCUGGUGGCGAGUGGCGAACAGGUGAGUAAUGUAUCGGGAACGUACUAGUAGCGGGGGGAUAACUACGCGAAAGCGUAGCUAAUGGCACAUACGCCCUUCGAGGGAAAGCGGGGACCUUCGGGCCUCGCACUAUUAAGAGCGGCCGAUAUCGGAUUAUAUUCAGUUGGUGGGGUAACGGCGACUUCUUGGGCGACGAUCAGCGGCUUCGUUUGAAGGACGACCAGCCACACUGGGACUGCAGAGCCGGCUGAGC